This 678-nucleotide non-coding RNA is filed under the name Lentilactobacillus parafarraginis F0439. RNAcentral describes it as "Lactobacillus parafarraginis F0439 Bacterial large subunit ribosomal RNA". It matches the Rfam family "Bacterial large subunit ribosomal RNA", at positions 1794 to 2471 of the family's 2925-position model. Lineage: Bacteria; Bacillati; Bacillota; Bacilli; Lactobacillales; Lactobacillaceae. The record is from Rfam by way of RNAcentral.
AGGCGACUGUUUAUCAAAAACACAGGUUUCUGCAAAAUCGAAAGAUGACGUAUAGGGGCUGACGCCUGCCCGGUGCUGGAAGGUUAAGUGGAUGAGUUAGCUUCGGCGAAGCCCAGAAAUGAAGCCCCAGUAAACGGCGGCCGUAACUAUAACGGUCCUAAGGUAGCGAAAUUCCUUGUCGGGUAAGUUCCGACCCGCACGAAAGGCGUAACGAUCUGGGCACUGUCUCAACAAGAGACUCGGUGAAAUUGAGAUACCUGUGAAGAAGCAGGUUACCCGCGACAGGACGGAAAGACCCCAUGGAGCUUUACUGUAGCUUGAUAUUGGGUGUUGACACAGCUUGUACAGGAUAGGUAGGAGCCGUUGAAGCCGGAACGCUAGUUUCGGUGGAGGCAUUGGUGGGAUACUACCCUCGCUGUGUGAACACUCUAACCCGCGCCACUUAGCGUGGCGGGAGACAGUGUCAGGUAGGCAGUUUGACUGGGGCGGUCGCCUCCCAAACAGUAACGGAGGCGCCCAAAGGUUCCCUCAGAAUGGUUGGAAAUCAUUCAAUGAGUGUAAAGGCAGAAGGGAGCUUGACUGCGAGACAGACAGGUCGAGCAGGGACGAAAGUCGGGCUUAGUGAUCCGGUGGUUCCGUAUGGAAGGGCCAUCGCUCAACGGAUAAAAGCUACCCUGG